UACUUAGAGACAGUAGACACA
RNAcentral lists this non-coding RNA (21 nucleotides) under Mus musculus (house mouse). Lineage: Eukaryota; Metazoa; Chordata; Mammalia; Rodentia; Muridae. The record is from RNAcentral.